Molecule: long non-coding RNA, 653 nt
Filed under: Nicotiana benthamiana
Lineage: Eukaryota; Viridiplantae; Streptophyta; Magnoliopsida; Solanales; Solanaceae
Description: long non-coding RNA (NBEN_LNC025137)
Source: RNAcentral
UUCUUCUUCAAAGCAAAAAACGAAGAAUCUAAGGCAAAUCCCAUCCGCUCUUUGCAACCAGAACACAAACGACCCCACCCCAAACGUCUAGCAGCUUCACGUUCAACAGCUACACCUAACGCCACGCUACAAAAUCGACCGCUGGCCAGAUCUCCUCUCGACACCACCAUUUCCGGCAGUCAAACAAAAGAACGAGCAACAAAACACACACACCUCACAAAAUAGCUUCAUAACCACCGGGUGCUAGUAUCGGAGUUUCGGAGUUACAGAUUGUUAGUCCUAUUUGUAGUUUGAGAGGUUCGUCGAGGCUGCCGCCGACAAAUAUCUAUAAUCAUGAUCAUUGUCUUGGCUUGAUGUUGAGCAGCAGAAAUUCUAAAGCUUGGAUUCCGUUAAUACAAGGUAUUUUUGGCUUUGCAAUUGGAAUUUCAGUAGGUCCGGUUAUUAGUUAUUUCUUGUUCAUAUACUUUGAGUUCUUUUGUUGUUGUUUUUGUUUUUGUUGUUACUUUUCUUCACUAAGCCGAGGGUCGAUUGGAAACAGCCUCUCUGCCCUUUCGGGUAGGGCUAAGGCCUGUCUACAUGUUACCCUUCACAGACCUCACUUUGUGAGACUAUACUGGGUAGUUGUUAUUGAUGUUCAUAUACUUUGAGCCCAG